GGGGAUGUGGCGGAAUGGUAGACGCGCAUGACUUAGAAUCAUGUGCCGCAAGGCGUGUGGGUUCGAGUCCCUCCAUCCCCA
Molecule: transfer RNA, 81 nt
Filed under: Chloroflexota bacterium
Lineage: Bacteria; Bacillati; Chloroflexota
Also listed under: 1 other name
Description: Chloroflexi bacterium (hydrothermal vent metagenome) tRNA-Leu
Rfam family: tRNA
About the family: Transfer RNA (tRNA) molecules are approximately 80 nucleotides in length.
Source: RNAcentral